GGAGUUUGAUCAUGGCUCAGAUUGAACGCUGGCGGCAGGCCUAACACAUGCAAGUCGAACGGUAACAGGAAACAGCUUGCUGUUUCGCUGACGAGUGGCGGACGGGUGAGUAAUGUCUGGGAAACUGCCUGAUGGAGGGGGAUAACUACUGGAAACGGUAGCUAAUACCGCAUAACGUCGCAAGACCAAAGAGGGGGACCUUCGGGCCUCUUGCCAUCAGAUGUGCCCAGAUGGGAUUAGCUAGUAGGUGGGGUAACGGCUCACCUAGGCGACGAUCCCUAGCUGGUCUGAGAGGAUGACCAGCCACACUGGAACUGAGACACGGUCCUGACUCCUACGGGAGGCAGCAGUGGGGAAUAUUGCACAAUGGGCGCAAGCCUGAUGCAGCCAUGCCGCGUGUAUGAAGAAGGCCUUCGGGUUGUAAAGUACUUUCAGCGGGGAGGAAGGGAGUAAAGUUAAUACCUUUGCUCAUUGACGUUACCCGCAGAAGAAGCACCGGCUAACUCCGUGCCAGCAGCCGCGGUAAUACGGAGGGUGCAAGCGUUAAUCGGAAUUACUGGGCGUAAAGCGCACGCAGGCGGUUUGUUAAGUCAGAUGUGAAAUCCCCGGGCUCAACCUGGGAACUGCAUCUGAUACUGGCAAGCCUGAGUCUCGUAGAGGGGGGUAGAAUUCCAGGUGUAGCGGUGAAAUGCGUAGAGAUCUGGAGGAAUACCGGUGGCGAAGGCGGCCCCCUGGACGAAGACUGACGCUCAGGUGCGAAAGCGUGGGGAGCAAACAGGAUUAGGUACCCUGGUAGUCCACGCCGUAAACGAUGUCGACUUGGAGGUUGUGCCCUUGAGGCGUGGCUUCCGGAGCUAACGCGUUAAGUCGACCGCCUGGGGAGUACGGCCGCAAGGUUAAAACUCAAAUGAAUUGACGGGGGCCCGCACAAGCGGUGGAGCAUGUGGUUUAAUUCGAUGCAACGCGAAGAACCUUACCUGGUCUUGACAUCCACGGAAGUUUUCAGAGAUGAGAAUGUGCCUUCGGGAACCGUGAGACAGGUGCUGCAUGGCUGUCGUCAGCUCGUGUUGUGAAAUGUUGGGUUAAGUCCCGCAACGAGCGCAACCCUUAUCCUUUGUUGCCAGCGGUCCGGCCGGGAACUCAAAGGAGACUGCCAGUGAUAAACUGGAGGAAGGUGGGGAUGACGUCAAGUCAUCAUGGCCCUUACGACCAGGGCUACACACGUGCUACAAUGGCGCAUACAAAGAGAAGCGACCUCGCGAGAGCAAGCGGACCUCAUAAAGUGCGUCGUAGUCCGGAUUGGAGUCUGCAACUCGACUCCAUGAAGUCGGAAUCGCUAGUAAUCGUGGAUCAGAAUGCCACGGUGAAUACGUUCCCGGGCCUUGUACACACCGCCCGUCACACCAUGGGAGUGGGUUGCAAAAGAAGUAGGUAGCUUAACCUUCGGGAGGGCGCUUACCACUUUGUGAUUCAUGACUGGGGUGAAGUCGAAACAAGGUAACCGUAGGGGAACCUGCGGUUG
RNAcentral lists this ribosomal RNA (1522 nucleotides) under metagenome. RNAcentral describes it as "bacterial SSU rRNA". It matches the Rfam family "Bacterial small subunit ribosomal RNA". The record is from RNAcentral.